CCUGCCUGGAAUGUGGAGUCUCUUCCCACUGCUCUCACCUCUCUCAGCACAGCCUGGGCAAGGGGCCCUUCUCCUCCCCCUAAUAUAGGAAGUACUUCAGCCAAGGGGCCCACCUGACCCUGUGCGAACACUUUCACACAGGUGAUAGGCCCUACUCCUGCAGAAAGUGUGGCCACAGCUCUUGCCACAGCUCACACCUGGCCCAGCACUGCGGCACACACCUGCCUGAACCCAAUCACUGCCACCAGCGUGGCAAGGGCCUCUCCCCAAGGCUCCAGCCCGUUGCAGCCUGCCACUCUACACACAGGCAAGCAGCCUUACGUCUGUGCCACCUAAGCCUUCUUGUGGUAGAUGAGGGUGCUGGCCCCCACUCCAACCUGCAACACCAGCAGCAGAACCAUACCUGGGGGCGUCCCCAUCACAGUGACCAGUGAGGCAAGGGCUAUGGACAUUGCUCAGGGCUGGUGCAGCACCAGCAAGUCUGCAGAAGCAAAGGCUGCAGGCAUGGUUUCUGAUACAGCCCCAGGCUGGUGCAGCAUCACCAGGGCCACAUCAGGGACAGGCUCUACUGCUUGCCUCUGUGGCUGUGGUUUCACUUGGAACACCCACCUGCCAUGACACCAG
This 624-nucleotide long non-coding RNA is filed under the name Homo sapiens (human). RNAcentral describes it as "long non-coding RNA NONHSAT118540.2". The record is from RNAcentral. Lineage: Eukaryota; Metazoa; Chordata; Mammalia; Primates; Hominidae.